RNAcentral lists this ribosomal RNA (444 nucleotides) under Staphylococcus sp. RNAcentral's name for it is "bacterial SSU rRNA". It matches the Rfam family "Bacterial small subunit ribosomal RNA", at positions 247 to 683 of the family's 1533-position model. Lineage: Bacteria; Bacillati; Bacillota; Bacilli; Caryophanales; Staphylococcaceae. The record is from RNAcentral.
AGUUGGUAAGGUAACGGCUUACCAAGGCAACGAUACGUAGCCGACCUGAGAGGGUGAUCGGCCACACUGGAACUGAGACACGGUCCAGACUCCUACGGGAGGCAGCAGUAGGGAAUCUUCCGCAAUGGGCGAAAGCCUGACGGAGCAACGCCGCGUGAGUGAUGAAGGUCUUCGGAUCGUAAAACUCUGUUAUCAGGGAAGAACAAAUGUGUAAGUAACUGUGCACAUCUUGACGGUACCUGAUCAGAAAGCCACGGCUAACUACGUGCCAGCAGCCGCGGUAAUACGUAGGUGGCAAGCGUUAUCCGGAAUUAUUGGGCGUAAAGCGCGCGUAGGCGGUUUUUUAAGUCUGAUGUGAAAGCCCACGGCUCAACCGUGGAGGGUCAUUGGAAACUGGAAAACUUGAGUGCAGAAGAGGAAAGUGGAAUUCCAUGUGUAGCGGUG